This 351-nucleotide ribosomal RNA is filed under the name uncultured bacterium. Its description in RNAcentral is "bacterial SSU rRNA". It matches the Rfam family "Bacterial small subunit ribosomal RNA", at positions 917 to 1271 of the family's 1533-position model. The record is from RNAcentral.
GGGCCCGCACAAGCGGUGGAGCAUGUGGUUUAAUUCGAUGAUACGCGAGGAACCUUACCAGGGCUUAAAUGUAGUGGGACAGGUCUAGAGAUAGACCCUUCUUCGGACUCAUUACAAGGUGCUGCAUGGUUGUCGUCAGCUCGUGCCGUGAGGUGUCAGGUUAAGUCCUAUAACGAGCGCAACCCCUAUCGUUAGUUGCCAGCGAGUAAUGUCGGGAACUCUAACGAAACUGCCAGUGCAAACUGUGAGGAAGGUGGGGAUGACGUCAAAUCAUCACGGCCCUUACGUCCUGGCUACACACGUGCUACAAUGGCCGGUACAAUGAGAUGCUAAACAGCGAUGUUAAGCUAA